UUUUAAAAGCCGUCCAUUCUCCCAGAGUCAUUUGCAGGACUUGCCUGAGGUCUUUGGGGUCACCGAAGAGGAUCGUUCUGCCAUCUAUGAAAUUUUUCCUUACCGUUUCAAGGGUGUUACACUUUCAACAUUGCAGAUGUUGCAUGCCAAAGUGGGAUAAAUGGGAACGCAUUCAAAAGAGAAGGCUGUCUGGAUGGAUUGUAAUAUUGGCACACCUGGUGUGAUGUAUGGACGCUGGAUUCCACUUCCAGAUUCAUUACUCUCGUGAGCAGUGGGAGCCCAGUGUGUUGAUGGAAAUACGCUCCCUUGAGCCUGAACGUGCAAGUGAUGUCCAUUAUGAUGCUGGUCGGCUUCCUGGCAGCGGCUUGGACUGGAGUGUGCUGCACAAUUUUCAAACCACUAAACAAGUCAAAGUUGGUGAUCAAGACCCCUCUGAUCUUCCUUCUCUCCAAGAUUUCUAUGAAGUGUAUAAAAGAGCACAAUCUCCUUCUGAAACAUAUGCAUUAGUUCCAGCUGCUGACUGACUUGAUGAUGAGAUUCUUCACCAACAUAAAGGUCUCAAUCUUCCAUCCGCCCGCUGUGAGACAGCCAACCCACCCCGAGGAGAGACAGACAGCUCCACUCAGGCAUAGAUCUGAGCUCACCGUGGCCGCAGAAUGUGCGGUGAUUAGAGUAAUGUGGGUUUUUUCUGAGCCCAUCGGCAGCCGUGGCAGGUCGGGGAGCAGAACAGGCAGAUAAGAGCCAGCGGUGAGGAGUUUUAAUUAAAUAACGGGACAUUAUACGGCUGGAUUAUCCGAGUCUCUAGCGUGAGGACGCAGAGCUGUAGGACGACCGGACAAUGGGAAUGCUGAGCAGAGCAAGACUGGACAUGGGCCAAAAGAGGACAGGGAGAGAGACAGAGAGACAGGAGAAAAGGCUGAAAUCCAGCGGUUGUGUAUGUGUGGGUGCAACAGACAGUGAAAGCGAAGACACAAACCACAUACGUGCCGUGAACCUCACCACAUACACACAUACUGAACCGAGCUGGUGCAGCAGAGCUCUAAUGAGGCUGAACAGAAGAUCUGGACUUGAGGUUAAAUCAAUGAUGUGUGUGUCUGAGCCACCGACACACUAAAUGCCAGUUACUGCACGCACACACAUAUACACACAGGUGAAAUAAUUAGCCUCACUGCUCCACACCGUUAUCAAAGAAAUGGCAUCAUUACAUGACCACUCUUUUUUUCCCUCAAUCGCCCCCUACUGUUCCCAUUCCUGCUGCUAGACAAACAGAAGUCCAGCCCUCACCAGGGUUUGGACAAGAGUUUACUUCAUUUACAUUUUUACCAUGCUUUCUCAUCGAAAGGACUUAAUAAGAUGCACAAGUCACAACAAUACCACCAGGACAGGUAGCUGAGAAUGCAAAACAGUGCCUCGAACAGCAAGAAGCAGCUCAUGUAGCAAGUGUAAAUACAUUGAACUUCUAAUCCCGUUGCCAAUAAAUGAAUACAAAGCUGGGCUGCUACUGUACAAGUGCUGACUUAGAAGAUACAAAUGAGUCCCUAAAGACAAGUAAAGACAAUGAAAGCAAGGCAUUUGCAAUGCAAGUAUGGAGGUGAUUACAUUUUAUUAACAAUACUGGGCUGGACAACAUCAGUGGUGUGUUAGGGGCUGUUCCAACACAAUCUCAUGAGAAAACAUGUCUAUUUUAUAAGCUGGCCAUUUCUUUUGAAUCUGUGCCAUGUGAUUCAUACAGAAAUGUAAGAGUUUUAAGAAAAAACAUAAGCAUGAAGGUUCACCCCUAAAACCUAUCCAUCAGUGGUGCGUAGGCAGAUGGUACGAAAAUGUACAAAUUCAUAUGAAUUAGCCACCAAUUAAAUUAUAAUUACAAACUGCCAUCGGCUGUUCUCACAGAACAUUUUUUGCAUUCUACUGAGCUUCUUGUCCAUUGUUUUUCAAUGUAAAAAUGCACUACAUGGACAUGUUUGACAUCUUUUGUAACAUCUGGUACAUGAUACAGCAUUCUAUAAACACAGGGCUCAAGUUAAAAGUUCAGCUUUUAAAGCGAAAGUGACAUGUCAAGGUCAAGUAUGGAAACCCUUACUCUAAAUCUGUCCUCUGCAUUUAACCCAUCCAAGCUAGUGCACACAUAUUAGGAGUAGUGAGUAGUGAACACACACACACUUACUGCAAACCGUGGACACGCACACCCGGAGCAGUGGGCAGUCAUUUUUGCUGUGGCGCUUGGGGAGUGAUUGGCAGUUAGGUACCUUGCUCAAAGGCACCUCAGUCAUUCCCUGCCGGUAUUGAGAAUCAAAACCACAACCAUCAGGUUAUCAGUCUGACUCUCUAACCAUUAGGUCACAACUGCCCCUAAAAGUUUCAUUCAGCUGCCCUGCAUUUCAUGUUUUUGCAUUGAAAAAAUGGAAAUGGAAAAAAACCCAGCAAGGUCUCGAGACGCUUUUUUUAAAAGUUGAACAGCUCCAUGUAAACUGGAAGGAUGCCAG
Molecule: long non-coding RNA, 2483 nt
Organism: Megalobrama amblycephala (Wuchang bream)
Lineage: Eukaryota; Metazoa; Chordata; Actinopteri; Cypriniformes; Xenocyprididae
Exons: 5
Source: RefSeq, a predicted model, not a curated record